AACUUCGUAGCUCGUGUCAGCAUCAGCAAGGCGCGAAUUCGGCAUUCGUUUGUCUGGUCUUUGGAGAACGAACAACCAGUCGGCAGGCAUGCCGUACGAAGCCUCAAAGACCAGAUGAAUGGCCAGGCCAGAAAUUUUGCGUCGCAUUCAAAUGUAUGGACGUUACUCAUCUUAGUGUUUAUAUUGUCUUUGGCUCAACGAGUCAAAAUGGCGCAUUUUGGACCCGAACUUGAUAGUCGAAGUUUUGCAAGGACAUUGACCAUCUUGCUAUCCGCAUAAGAACUUUUUUUUCCUUCAUCGUUAUUGUUAAAGCAUUGCAGUCAGUUAUGGUUUUAAACGUUUUACCUAUUAAAAACACAUGUAAUUUAUUAAGAGCAUACAUAACAGCAAGAAGUUCUAAUUCGUAUGAGUAGUACUUUUUUUCAGCCGCACUUGUCUAACGGCUCAUAUACUGAACAUGAUGAACAAUACCCCAUCAAAACAAAACGUGCUAGCAUCCGUGUUAUCUUCCGUUUCUAACUUAGUGCUAUAGAAUUUUAAUACAAGUCCACUCCUCAACAAUUCUUAAUUCUCAAUUCUUCGAAUCCGACAUGCUGCAACUCUUUAAUAUCAUACCUUGCAUCCUUUCGGAAAACGUCGGACAAUGAUUUUGCAAUUACUUCAUACCCCUCUACAAACAUUCGAAAAUAAACUUUAUUAAAUGAAACCCUAAAAAUUGGUUAUUAUGCUUGAAAUCGGAAAAUUUGCAACAGCUUGAGGCUCUUUUUGGAGUUAUAGAGCUCCUUUGCAGAAGGAGGUUAUUUACCCCUGCAACAAUUGAUCUACCCAACUUUUAGCACCCUUUUGACCUUCACCGGGUCGUCAUCAAGAAUAUGACGUCUUUCAUAUAAACGAUCGUGGAACCCAUUUUGGCCAUCUGGAUAUUGUCAAUCUGAAUGGGUAUUACUUACAAAACCUUCCAAAUGUCAGAAUUUGAUUGUCUCCUAGGGUCUUAGAACAUACCGUUAACUAUUUGAUUCCUAACUCUAGAUGGACACACCUACGUAUGAGACACAGGUCCUUGUCGUAAUACAUUAAACCUUUGCAAAUCUCUACGCCACAAACUACGCCGUUCGUCUACUUCUUGUUUAUAUUGGCUAUCAUCAUUAUACUUAUUACUAUUAUAUAUUAUAUAUAUGCUUAGGACAGUCCUUUAUCAUAUGUGAAUCGGCACCAUAUUAAAACUAUUUACGGACUUUAUUUGCUUUAAAACCUUGACUAUCGUGGAGUCUUCCUUUAGCAACUGUCGAUCCAGGUUUACUGUGCGAUGCGUAUGAGCCACGAGCUUUCUGAUAAGAUUCUAUGUGAACUUUCAACUGUUUAAUUGUUCGGCCUUAUACGAUACGAACAGCAAAUUGUUUGUUUUAGAAUCUGGGGUAUCGCCCAUCAAAGAGUUAAACUCUCAUCAACGACAUCAAUUGAUUUUCCUGUGUCCAUCAACGCAUAUACAAAUUCUAGCAGCAACUAACCUUUUUUCUGCUGGCGCUUUCCCAAUCAUCUAUGAACGUCUUUUAGCACCUCCCAGUUAUGAAUAUCCCUGGCAACGAAUAAAUGAUUUAUCAGCACCCUCAAGCAACUGCUUGGCAUAAGAAAUAACAUAACUGUAGUAGGAUAGUGACGUCCCAUUAUCAAUAGUAUGUAUUAUCAGAAGUACACACGGUUACUCUGGCAGCAGGUGUCAUGUAGGUAACAGAGUAUGUUAAGCAUUAGUGUUAAGAGCAGUCUGUGACUAGCUUUGAAUAACAUAAGACAGUGAGACUACAGGAGAAAUAAAACAAACAUAUAUUGAAGCUAAUAAAACACAAUAUACAUAAAUUCUAUCAUCCCCCCACAAUCUAAGUGGGCCUAACUCACAAUUAACGAAGUUGAAAUUUAUAAAUUUUCUGUAGCUCGAUUGAAAAAGUGGCUUGGUUUGCCAAGCACAGGUUGUAAAGCAGAAUUGGUAGCAUGGCUUAAUGCGAUUUCGUCAGAAAGGCGCGGCAUUCCGCCGGAGUACCGGCCAGGUUCUUAAUAAUAUGCAAUUACUACAGCAUGAUCAAGGUAUAGAUGAGAGCGACAGUGACUACGGUAUUGUCUGUGAACAACAACAACAGGCAACGCAGUCACUUACUGAAACUGAGGCAAGGUCAGACAACAUGACGGCUGUUUGAAGGCCACAACAACAGGCUGAUCAUGAUCGAUGGAUGAUCCAAGGCGACGAGAUGGAAGUGCGUACUCAUGCAGCAGCUAUAACCAAGCUAAUAGCAUUUAUGGACACCGCUGAGUUUGCUGUGCGACAACAGCUUAGGGCAGAAAUCGAUGCCAGCAAGGAAUUCCUUCAACAAAUUCGCUUGACAUUCAAAGCGCAGUGCAGUUCGGAGGAGCUGAACAAAGUAACGGCAGCAACGAAAAUGGAAACAACGCAUGCAACAGAAACGUAUGCAGCAGCAACGUAACCGACAACGUUAACAGUAGCAGUGCCAACAACAAUAUUAACAAUGUCGCUGUUAACGUUGCUGAUAAUUGCAGCGACGGUGUUGGUGAAGACAGCUGUGGUGACGAGCAAUGUGUUGACAAGCGCUAAAUUGUAAAUAAAUUGGUGUAAGAAUCAUCUACAUCGCUUGCAUGGACUAAAGGAGUAGCCAUUGAGUACGACGGUAGUUCAUGCGAUCGAAUCUGGAUAACACAAUUACACAAUAUUGCUAGCAAAGCUUAAUGGCAACGCGCAGCGCUCUCUACAUGCAAAACCGACACGCAUCUUGGAACCAGUCGACAACUCAUUUGUUUGAACAACUUAUCUUAGCAUUUGGAGGAGAGAUUUUAAAAGCAAAAGCAAGGAGCAAAUUUCAAGAUCGACAGUGACAGGCGAACGAGAAUUUUGCUACUAAUUUGAAGAACCGAUGCAAAUUCUCCAAGCGUUUUCUGGUGUGCGUGUAUGGGAGCAGAAGAAAGAAAAUAACGCAUCACUGACAAUGUAAUCAAAGAAUUCCUAUACCAAGGAAAUGCGCUGUCACAAUAGUAAUGCGAGAGGUCACCUAGCCAAAGAAUGUCGAAAUGCCUGGAUCAAGUUAUGCGUGCGGGGCAUUUGGUCAUUUUGCUCGUCAGUGCCCAGUGAGAAAAUCUGCAGCCGUAAUUAAAGAUCAAUAGAGUCUCAUUUUCAUUUAUAUGUUGUUGCAAAUGAAUCUAUGAGUCUUGAUGUUGUUCUUGGUAUAUGUUGUUAGUGAACAAUCAUAGAAAACAGUUAGUCAAAAAGUAAGUGAACAGUCAAAGGAAACACUCAGUCAAAGAGUUAGUGGACAAUCAAAUUAAACAGUAAGAAAUGAAACAGUUUCUUAGAUAGUAAGCCAAAAACGGAGUGAAAAUUUUAGCAACAAAAUUGUUAUGAAAUAUUUAAAUGAUGAAAUUAGUGAAAAAGAAAAUAAUAAUGAAUAAAGAGAUGGUCCAUAUCAAUUUAACGGAAAA
Drosophila virilis is the source of this 3480-nucleotide non-coding RNA. The record is from RefSeq and is a predicted model, not a curated record. NCBI's taxonomy places the organism in Eukaryota, Metazoa, Arthropoda, Insecta, Diptera, Drosophilidae.